Molecule: non-coding RNA, 2337 nt
Organism: Arachis ipaensis
Lineage: Eukaryota; Viridiplantae; Streptophyta; Magnoliopsida; Fabales; Fabaceae
Source: RefSeq, a predicted model, not a curated record
GUGGAUUUGAAUUCACUAACUCCCCUAACGCGAGAGAACCCUAGCCACUCGCGUCACUUUUCACCUUCUUCCCUCCAACGUCCCUUUCUCUUCCUCUUCAAACUCACAGAACCCCCAUUGAGCGACCUUCAACCACUGCCACCCAUCAUCGCCGGCGAACCCAUUACCGCCGGCCGCCAACCCCUUUCUUACCUUUCUUCCCUCUUUCUUCCGCUUCUCCUCUCUCGCUCCACCUUCUCCUCACUGCCAUCAAGCACCGCCGCGGCCACCCAUUGCCGCUGGCAAUCUCCACCCUCUACCACAACCACUCGCCCUCCCUUCUUCUCCAUUUCACUUCACUCCACCGUCUCUGUACCAGAACGAAAAUCUGGUGCUCCCCCUGCUCCCUGAGUUCAGCGCCUUUAUUCAGCGCCUCAGUUCUGCCGUCACCACCGCUAUCAGUAGCCGCCGUCCCUGGGUCGGCACUGCUCUUCUCCCCCUUCUAGUCUCCAUCUCUGUUUCUGCUUCCCUCCCUGAUGUCCGACAGAGGUAAAGGGAAAGCCAAGAUCACCUCCAAUAAAAGGAAGAGGUCUCAGUCAUCUACUGAGCGGGUGACCUCCGGUCUAUUUGAGAAGCGUCUCUCUGAGAAGGAGAAGGCGGAUCAAGCCACGCCUCCUACCAACUCAGAGAAGUUUACCAAUCUAUGUUGUGAGCUCCGAUUUCAGCACUUUGAGCAUCGGAAGCUCAUUUUGGAGAAGAAGCUAGUUAUCCCCUCCGAUCUAAGGCAGUAUACUGAGUGCCGGAUUGAGGAGAGGGGCUGAGCCUUCCUAGACAGAGAGCUAGUGAGAGUGAAUGAGUCUUGGGUCCAAGAGUUCUAUUGCAAUUUCUUCAAAGUGACCCUUGACUUAGUUCACCUCAGAGACAGGCAGGUCAUGGUCACAGAGGUGGAUAUUGAGGAGAUCCUCCACUGUCAGCCUAAAAUCAGUGAUAAGGAUGCUUUCCACAGGGUUGAGGAGGAGUUGCACAGCAUGACCUUUGAUUAUGAUGCACUACAUAGUGUGGUUGCCCAGCCUAAUUCCCCUUGGGAGAUGGGUACCUCUCAAGUGACUCUCAAGGGCAUGAAGUUUGAUUAUCUGACCGAAUCGGCGGUUAACCGAUAAACCGACUGAACCGGCCAAUUUUUUGAAAGGCCCGAUUUUGUAAUCCAAAUUCAGAAACGGCAUCGUUUUGACGCCAUAAAAAAAAGAAACCCUAAGUCACUAACCCAGUCCCCCAAUUCCCAACCCAGCCUCACGAGAACGCCUACCCUCUCCCUCUCCCUUCCAAGUUCCAACCCUAGUUUCCUGGGUAAAGUACUAAAUUGGUCCUCUACAUUUGGGCAUAAUUCUGUUUUGGUCCUUAAGGUUUAAAGUAUUCUAUUUGAAUCCAAAAAAAUUUCAUUUAUCUUCAAUAUAGUCCCAUCGUGAGAUCAAAGUUAAAUAAUUAACAGAAUGUCCUACAUGACAGCAGUACAAGAACAAGGUCGAAAAUAUGGAGAACAAGUACAAGCUCCAAAGGCACAAAAUCAACCAUGAAUGCAUUAAUAUAUUUAUUUAUCAUUCUCCUUAGUUUUAUAGAAAAUAUUUCAUUUAAAUUGUAAGAAAAAUGAUAAAUAAAUAUUUUUGAUUCAUCCACGAUUGAUUUUGUACCUCUGAAGCUUGUAUUUGUUCUCCAAAUUAUCGACCUUGUUCUUGUACUGCUGUCAUGUAGGACAUUCCGUUAAUUAUUUAACUUUGACCUCACGGUGGGACUACAUUGAAGUUAAAUAAAAUUUUUUUGGAUUCAAAUAGGACACUUUAAAGUUUAAAGACCAAAACAAGAUUACGCCCAAACGUAGGGGACCAAUUUAGUACUUUACCCUUAAUUUCCUUUAAGUCUCCAAUGACAGAAGGAACACCUCCACGAUUCCUACCACUAUCGACGUCAGCCUCUGUCUGCCACCGUGGACACAGCUUCUGCUACAUGUGCAUCACCACUCACCUUUGCAACAAGAGCGAUUGCCCUUGCUGCAACCAUUACCUCACCAAUAGCCACCUCUUCCCUAACUUCUUGCUCGACAAGAUUCACCUCUUCGCAUUUUUUGUUCUCCCUUUCAAUUCAGUAGGGUUUGUUUCCCAGAGCUAGAAACUUCGAAUUCAGUUCGUUUGGAUUGGAAUCGGUUGUUUCAUUUACGUUUAAGAGAGGAAUAUAUGCGUGCUUCGUUGUGAAAAGAGAAAAAAAUCUUUUGAAUUUUUCUUUUCGCGCUUUAGGUGAUAUUAAUCUUUUUCCAGAUUGAAAUUGUUCCUGUUGCGUUUAAGAAUUACUUUUAAUAAACACAAG